This is a long non-coding RNA of Lolium rigidum, 1767 nucleotides long. RefSeq lists it as uncharacterized. The record is from RefSeq and is a predicted model, not a curated record. The transcript has 2 exons. NCBI's taxonomy places the organism in Eukaryota, Viridiplantae, Streptophyta, Magnoliopsida, Poales, Poaceae.
CAGCAAUAACGGUAGCUGCAGUUCACAAAUCAUUAACUUCAGGUCACCCCUCAAAACAAAUCAUUAACUUCGGGUCUGCCUACUUCCAAUAUGCUCAAUAGUGUCUUCUCGAAGUUUACUUCUGAAUUAAGAAAUGCGAACCAUUGAUCAUGGAUUUAUUAAGGGUAUCUCCAUGAUUGGUAUCGACUUAGAAAUUACACAAGAUAAAUAUGUAUGAUUAGUCCAUUGGAUAUUCUCCGACGAUUUAAUCAUUAGUCCAUUGGAUAUUCUCCGAGGAUUUAAUCAAUUUCAGCUAUGGAUGCUGACUCAAUUUUCAAACCAAGGUAAAUAAAUCCCUUCCCUUAGAUAUUUUCUACUCAACCUUUCGCUUCAGAAAUUAGUAUAUGCACAAGCAUGAACCUCUGGUUGCUUAAUUUAUUUUGUACAAAUAGUUGGUUUUCAUUUGUUGCCCUGUUUUUCCUGUGAAUAAGGGAUUCGAUGAGAGAUUAUCAUUGUCUUGCUUCUCUGAAUUGAGUUCACAAAGAAAUGAUAGUGUUUUGGACUUGUAGUCAGUAUUUGAAACCAAGUUAUUCUUAUUUCAGAGUAAUGAAUGUCUUUACCGUUGUUAAAUGCAACAAUGGCUAUGAUAAGUACAAAUAAGUAUGUGAUAAGUUCAUUUAUUUUUUCUGGCUCUCUGUUUGCUUAACCUUUCCAUCUCUUUUUAGUUUUGUGUCCUAAGAUUGUUGCUCCAGACCAGAAUCAUGUCAUUAUUCUGUUCAUUUGUUUGUGAGUUCUGAUAAUAAUAUUCUUUUUUUUUCUGCGAUACAUGUAUCUUUAUGGAUGACGAAUUUCCCCAUAAAUUGGUUCUAUGUGAAGGCAAUCAUGAGCGUAUGAUCUCUUUGGUUCUUCCUGCAAGGAAAUGAUUCCUUUAGUUGCUCAUGUAGUAUCCUACUGUUUAUUUCUUUAGUGAUGACAAGUCAAGCAAUCAAUCCCGCUGUUGGGAAACUAAGUGAAUUGUCGUUGUCGAUGGGAUAUUAUUGUUGGGUUCAUUGCUAUAAUGAGAAUGCUUUGGCAUAUACUAUUUUCAUAAGUAUUCUGCACAAGUACUGAAGAAUGAUUCAAACAAGAUGGUGAAGUACAAGCCCAAAGUUCUCGACAAAGAUAGGUCAGGUGACCUUAUUGUUCCUUCCGAGGUGAAAUACAUUUCUGUAGUGAAAUUUUUGAAAGACUUCAAGGUUCUCUCUGAUUUUUUUGAUUGCACAUCAGCGGUACAUUGAGACUUUCAUAUCUUUGAUGUAUCUUCUUCUAAUUCUUGGUUGGUAACUGAUUCAUAUACAUAGACACUGCAAGUGGUAAACAUGCAUGAGAAAGAAUUAUAGCACAUCCAUGCUCUCUUCAAUGCCGAACCAGGGACUUUGGUUCCAUGUGACAACGUACCAUACUCUGCUCCAACCGUCGAUUUCUUCAACAAAUACAAGAACUCAUCACUCUUUUCUCCAAUGAAAAGAACUAUAAGCUGAGCUCUGAGUGCUUAGAGACCAGGGAACAGUCGCACUACCUGUUUUACUAUUCUACUGUACUAUUUCCUUAAGCUUGAUCAAUAAAAAUAUGUUAGUAUGUAGGUCAAGUAGAACCUCCUGCCUUCCAUGUACCGGAUAUGUAAAAGCCUCCAUGAGCUAUCUAAUCAGAUUUGUCAAUCUCACGGUCUACUUAUAUAUGUAUUAUUGUUGUUGUCUAAUCACUGCUCUUAUGUAUAAAUGCAUCUUUUGAGCCCUAUUGCUCAUAACA